Molecule: ribosomal RNA, 1019 nt
Filed under: uncultured Bacteroidota bacterium
Lineage: Bacteria; Pseudomonadati; Bacteroidota
Description: bacterial SSU rRNA
Rfam family: Bacterial small subunit ribosomal RNA
Source: RNAcentral
GAGUUUGAUCCUGGCUCAGGAUGAACGCUAGCGGCAGGCCUAACACAUGCAAGUCGAGGGGUAACAGAAAAGCUCGCUUUUGCUGACGACCGGCGCACGGGUGCGUAACGCGUAUGCAACCUACCUCAUACUGGAGGAUAGCCCCUGGAAACGGGGAUUAAUACUCCAUAGUAUCACAAUUUCGCAUGUUAUUGUGAUUAAAGUUUUUCGGUAUGAGAUGGGCAUGCGUCCCAUUAGCUUGUUGGUGAGGUAACGGCUCACCAAGGCAACGAUGGGUAGGGGGCCUGAGAGGGUGGUCCCCCACACUGGUACUGAGACACGGACCAGACUCCUACGGGAGGCAGCAGUGAGGAAUAUUGGUCAAUGGAGGAAACUCUGAACCAGCCAUGCCGCGUGAAGGAUGACGGCCCUAUGGGUUGUAAACUUCUUUUAUAGAGGAAGAAACUUGUCUACGUGUAGACAACUGACGGUACUCUACGAAUAAGGAUCGGCUAACUCCGUGCCAGCAGCCGCGGUAAUACGGAGGAUCCAAGCGUUAUCCGGAUUCAUUGGGUUUAAAGGGUCCGUAGCGGAUUUUUAAGUCAGUGGUGAAAGCCGACAGCUCAACUGUCGAACUGCCAUUGAUACUGGAAAUCUUGAGUACAAAUGAAGUAGGCGGAAUGAGUCAUGUAGCGGUGAAAUGCAUAGAUAUGACUCAGAACACCGAUUGCGAAGGCAGCUUACUAACAUGUAACUGGCGCUGAGGGACGAAAGCGUGGGGAGCGAACAGGAUUAGAUACCCUGGUAGUCCACGCCGUAAACGAUCAUCACUCGCUGUUGGCGAUAUACUGUCAGCGGCCAAGCGAAAGUAUUAAGUGAUGCACCUGGGGAGUACGCCGGCAACGGUGAACUCAAAGGAAUUGACGGGGGCCCGCACAAGCGGUGGAGCAUGUGGUUUAAUUCGAUGAUACGCGAGGAACCUUACCAGGGCUUAAAUGUAGUUUGACCGGCUUGGAAACAGGCCUUCUCUUCGGAGCCAG